CGACCCCUGGACGUCGACCUCGGAUCAGGCAGGACUA
RNAcentral lists this ribosomal RNA (37 nucleotides) under Torrubiella ratticaudata. RNAcentral's name for it is "partial 28S ribosomal RNA". The record is from RNAcentral. Lineage: Eukaryota; Fungi; Ascomycota; Sordariomycetes; Hypocreales; Cordycipitaceae.